Caenorhabditis brenneri is the source of this 82-nucleotide non-coding RNA. The record is from the annotation of a GenBank genome assembly. NCBI's taxonomy places the organism in Eukaryota, Metazoa, Nematoda, Chromadorea, Rhabditida, Rhabditidae.
GGAAAAAUGGCCGAGCGGUGCGAAGCGCUGGUUUAAGGUUCGAGCUCAUUUGAGGGCGUGGGUUCAAACCCCACCCUUUUCA